AGACGGAGGGUGCGAACGUUGUUCGGAAUCACUGGGCAUAAAGCGCACGUAGGCGGUCCACUAAGUCGAAUGUGAAAGCCCCCGGCUCAACCGGGGAACUGCAUCCGAUACUGGUGGACUUGAGGACGGUUGGGGUGAGUGGAACUCCUGGUGGAGCGGUGAAAUGCGUAGAUAUCAGGAGGAACACCAGUGGCGAAAGCGGAUCACUGGACCGUAUCUGACGCUGAGGUGCGAAAGCUAGGGUAGCGAACGGGAUUAGAAACCCCAGUAGUCC
RNAcentral lists this ribosomal RNA (274 nucleotides) under uncultured bacterium. RNAcentral describes it as "partial 16S ribosomal RNA". It matches the Rfam family "Bacterial small subunit ribosomal RNA", at positions 523 to 796 of the family's 1533-position model. The record is from RNAcentral.